GUAGUCCACGCCGUAAACGUUGGGCACUAGGUGUGGGACCUUUUCAACGGGUUCCGUGCCGUAGCUAACGCAUUAAGUGCCCCGCCUGGGGAGUACGGCCGCAAGGCUAAAACUCAAAGGAAUUGACGGGGGCUCGCACAAGCGGCGGAGCAUGUUGCUUAAUUCGAGGCAACGCGAAGAACCUUACCUGGGUUUGACAUGUAGGGAAAAGCCGUAGAGAUACGGUGUCCUUCGGGGUCCUACACAGGUGGUGCAUGGCUGUCCUCAGCUCGUGUCGUGAGAUGUUGGGUUAAGUCCCGCAACGAGCGCAACCCCUGUCCCAUGUUGCCAGCGGGUAAUGCCGGGGACUC
Molecule: ribosomal RNA, 350 nt
Filed under: uncultured bacterium
Lineage: Bacteria
Description: bacterial SSU rRNA
Rfam family: Bacterial small subunit ribosomal RNA
Source: RNAcentral